Molecule: small nuclear RNA, 140 nt
Filed under: Propithecus coquereli (Coquerel's sifaka)
Lineage: Eukaryota; Metazoa; Chordata; Mammalia; Primates; Indriidae
Description: U4 spliceosomal RNA (ENSPCOG00000006487.1)
Rfam family: U4 spliceosomal RNA
About the family: U4 small nuclear RNA (U4 snRNA) is a component of the major U2-dependent spliceosome. The structure of U4 snRNA from yeast and human has been reported. U4 snRNA presents a k-turn RNA motif in the 5p-SL related to recognition of Snu13 protein.
Source: Rfam by way of RNAcentral
AGCUUUGCGCAGUGGCAGUAUCGUAGCCAAUGAGGUUUAUCCAAGGCGCGAUUAUUGCUAAUUGAAAACUUUUCCCAAAACUCUCCAUGACGACUUGAAAUAUAGUCAGCAUUGGCAAUUUUUGACAGUCUCUACAGAGA